CGCUGAAAAUUUUAUCAAUCGCGUGCUUGCCUUAGUAGUGGCGAAUGAACCGGCAUUAAGUCCAAAUUCGAAAUCUGCCAGCAAUGGCCGAGUUGUAAUUUGAAGAUGGUAAUUCUGUAGAGAGUCUUUGCUCAAGUUUCCUGGAAUGGAACGCCGUGGAGGGUGACAGCCCCGUGAGCCACUGACUUAAUACGUGUAGAGUACUAUCAAAGAGUCGAGUUGUUUGGGAAUGCAGCUCAAAUCUCGUGGUAAGUGGCACGAAAGACUAAAUAUUGGUGAGAGACCGAUAGCGAACAAGUACUGUGAAGGAAAGAUGAAAAGCACUUUGAAAAGAGAGUGAAAUAGUACGUGAAAUUUUUUUAUAUUUUUUUGAUAUGAAACUAGACACAGAGUCUUGAGUUCUGCAGUCCCUCGGGGUUUGUUUUUUCUCUUGAUUCUACACCAGCAUCAGUUUUGGCAGGAGGAUAAACAGUGAGAAAUGUAGCUACUUUUGUAGUGUUAUAGUCUUACUGCAUACUCUUAGCCGGGACUGAGGUCAGCCUUUGUAGGAUGCUGGGGUAAUGGUUUUAUAUCACCCGUCUUGAACGCGGGACCCCUAAUUGCGGCAUUCACUUAAACCUUUGUCGGGGACUAAUAAAAGAAACUUGAGGUUGGGAAUGCACAUCACAUCUCGGGGAAGGUGUACAAACGACUCAAGUUGUCAUCUCCCACAACUACCAGUGAUGUGAAACACAUCACACCUUUUUCAAAAGAGAUAAGAAAGGUCCUGUACUUUUUCACACCAAGGAUUCAACAUCGGCACUGAACCUUGGUUUUGGCGUAUCCCCCGGGUUUAUUGAUCUAGAUCCACACACCGCUUAGUAUUUGGCGUUGAUAACAGGGACAAAGGCAUCUUUAUAUGGUUAUGCUACCGGACACAUGCCGGACGUAGUCAGCUUCUAGGCUGAACGAAUUAUAUACCGCGGU
RNAcentral lists this ribosomal RNA (966 nucleotides) under Wickerhamiella occidentalis. RNAcentral's name for it is "LSU rRNA". The stretch from base 1 to 590 matches the Rfam family "Eukaryotic large subunit ribosomal RNA", at positions 51 to 664 of the family's 3401-position model. Lineage: Eukaryota; Fungi; Ascomycota; Dipodascomycetes; Dipodascales; Trichomonascaceae. The record is from RNAcentral.